This 133-nucleotide ribosomal RNA is filed under the name uncultured bacterium. RNAcentral's name for it is "partial 16S ribosomal RNA". The record is from RNAcentral.
CAGGUACCGUCAAUGGAACAUACUAUUAAUAUGAACCAAUUUCUUCCCUGUCGACAGAGCUUUACGACCCAAGGGCCUUCUUCACUCACGCGGCGUUGCUGCGUCAGGGUUUCCCCCAUUGCGCAAAAUCCCU